AGCGAACGCUGGCGGCAGGCCUAACACAUGCAAGUCGAACGGACUCUUCGGAGUUAGUGGCGGACGGGUGAGUAACACGUGGGAACGUGCCUUUAGGUUCGGAAUAGCUCCUGGAAACGGGUGGUAAUGCCGAAUGUGCCCUUCGGGGGAAAGAUUUAUCGCCUUUAGAGCGGCCCGCGUCUGAUUAGCUUGUUGGUGAG
Molecule: ribosomal RNA, 200 nt
Filed under: uncultured bacterium
Lineage: Bacteria
Description: partial 16S ribosomal RNA
Rfam family: Bacterial small subunit ribosomal RNA
Source: RNAcentral